UACGGAGGGUGCAAGCGUUAAUCGGAAUUACUGGGCGUAAAGCGCACGCAGGUGGCUGAGUCAGUCGAUUGUGAAAGCCCUGGGCUUAACCUGGGAAUUGCAGUCGAUACUACUCAGCUAGAGUAUGGGAGAGGGUAGUGGAAUUCCCGGUGUAGCGGUGAAAUGCGUAGAUAUCGGGAGGAACAUCAGUGGCGAAGGCGGCCUUCUGGGCCAACACUGACGCUCAUGCACGAAAGCGUGGGGAGCAAACAGG
This 253-nucleotide ribosomal RNA is filed under the name uncultured bacterium. RNAcentral describes it as "partial 16S ribosomal RNA". It matches the Rfam family "Bacterial small subunit ribosomal RNA", at positions 524 to 776 of the family's 1533-position model. The record is from RNAcentral.